RNAcentral lists this ribosomal RNA (878 nucleotides) under uncultured Alicyclobacillus sp. RNAcentral describes it as "partial 16S ribosomal RNA". The stretch from base 9 to 403 matches the Rfam family "Bacterial small subunit ribosomal RNA", at positions 9 to 546 of the family's 1533-position model. Lineage: Bacteria; Bacillati; Bacillota; Bacilli; Caryophanales; Alicyclobacillaceae. The record is from RNAcentral.
UGGCAUUAGAGUUUGAUCCUGGCUCAGGACGAACGCUGGCGGCGUGCCUAAUACAUGCAAGUCGAGCGGACAUCUUCGGAUGUUAGCGGCGGACGGGUGAGUAACACGGGGGUAAUCUGCCUGUUAGACUGGAAUAACCCCUGGAAACGGGUGCUAAUGCCGGAUACUAAUUUUUAAGGCAUCCUAAGACUUUGAAAGGUGCUACCGCACUACUAAUAGAGGAACCCGCGGCCCAUUAGCUACCUGGAGGGGCAGAAGCGUUUUGGAGGAAAGAUUGGUGGCAAACAUCCAAGCCGCANAAAAAACACCCGAGGGGGGGGGGGGGGGCGAAUUUAGGGGGGGGGAGAACAAGGAAAGAGCUAAAACGCCCAGAAAAGGAGAACACCCGCUGAGAGAGUACUCUGGAGGAUGGGCGUCUCAGGGAGGGACAUUUUAGAGGGAAGUAGCUAAGGAGGCCUCCAUGGGGCGGAAAGCAAAAAGCACAGCACUUAUCCCCACAUAAGAAAUGAACCAAGAGCUUUAUAUGAACUAGUCUGGCCGAAUAUCGCGAAGUUGCAAGGGGCUCUGGAGAGCGAGCGCCUUGGUGUAUAAUGAAGACGUCCCCGCGCGACGGAGGACGGAGCACUAUCAAUCUUGGUUCUUUGGUAGGAGAAGGAUCAAGAGCGUGAGAACACACUGAGCGGCCAUGGCUCGAUAAAUUCACUUAUCGCGGUGACACGCCCGACAGAAGCCCAGACACAAUAGCCGACAGCCUCUACUCCACAACAGAUAAUCAUAGGUCGCCGUGCGAGACAAAGUGCCACAGCGAGCUAGAACAUAGUCGCACGGACCAAUCCACCGGGGGACGAGGAGGAGAAGGAUCACGUGGACUGAUGAAG